This 305-nucleotide ribosomal RNA is filed under the name uncultured bacterium. RNAcentral describes it as "bacterial SSU rRNA". It matches the Rfam family "Bacterial small subunit ribosomal RNA", at positions 333 to 655 of the family's 1533-position model. The record is from RNAcentral.
UUUUUCCUACGGGAGGCAGCAGUGGGGGAUAUUGCACAAUGAGGGAAACCCUGAUGCAGCGACGCCGCGUGGGUGAAGAAGCGCCUCGGCGCGUAAAGCCCUGUCAGCAGGGAAGAAAAUGACGGUACCUGAAGAAGAAGCCCCGGCUAACUACGUGCCAGCAGCCGCGGUAAUACGUAGGGGGCAAGCGUUAUCCGGAUUUACUGGGUGUAAAGGGGGCGCAGACGGCGAUGCAAGCCAGGAGUGAAAGCCCGGGGCCCAACCCCGGGACUGCUCUUGGAACUGCGUGGCUAGAGUGACGUAGG